UCUGGUGUCCUAGGCAUAGAGGAACCACACCAAUCCAUCCCGAAUUUGGUGGUUAAACUCUACUGCGGUGAUGAUACUGUAGGGGAGGUCCUGUGGCAAAAUAGCUCGAUGCCAGAA
Molecule: non-coding RNA, 117 nt
Organism: Triticum aestivum (bread wheat)
Lineage: Eukaryota; Viridiplantae; Streptophyta; Magnoliopsida; Poales; Poaceae
Source: Rfam